Molecule: transfer RNA, 63 nt
Filed under: Anaplecta sp. 7 ZQW-2020
Lineage: Eukaryota; Metazoa; Arthropoda; Insecta; Blattodea; Anaplectidae
Description: tRNA-Leu
Source: RNAcentral
ACUAUUUUGGCAGAUAAGUGCAAUUGAUUUAGAAUCUUUAUAUAUAGAAUUCUAUAAAUAGUA